This 762-nucleotide unclassified non-coding RNA is filed under the name Hevea brasiliensis (rubber tree). Lineage: Eukaryota; Viridiplantae; Streptophyta; Magnoliopsida; Malpighiales; Euphorbiaceae. The record is from RNAcentral.
AAUGCAACAUGGAUGUUAACUGUAAGUAUUUGUUUUGUCCCAUUUAAUUACUUAUAAGGAAAAAAGAAAAGCUUAUGUAAUUAAGUUGAUUGGAUAAGGACAUACAGUAAAUUUUGGAUAGCCUAAAUGAUCAUGACAUGCUUCUUGCUUAUGGCUAGAUCAUGGUAAUGGUAAGUCAGGGAAAAUGAUUUGACAAUUCUUUUGUCAACAAGAUAAUCCAUCGUGCCAUUUAUAAGAAGGCAUUUUGAAUUCCAGUUGUGUCAACCACUCACCAUCAUGAUUUUGAAUAAUGUAAUGGCCGUUAUUUACGGAUUUUUAAGGAGCCGUUACCCUUUACUCCGUUAUUUAAAAGAAGAUGCUGUAUUGCAUUAGUAAUGGCUGUUACCAUUAACGGCCAUUAUUUACCAUUAAGUAAUGGUAACGACUAUUAUUUCAAUAAUUCAGUUGACAAAGAAUAUAUGCAUACAGUGUUUUCUUUAGUUUUUUUUUAUUCUUUGUGUAUUCUAAUCUUCCAACUACUAUUUCUGUCACAUUUUUUCUCAAAAUUUCACCUAAACUUCCCAUUCUUUCUACAAAUCUCUUCCUUAUUCUUUUUUAGGGUAAGUUCAUCAAAUAUUCAUACUCCACAACUACUUCUUGCAAAAGGUGAGUAUUAUUUGUUAUUUUUUUGCAUAUGUGUUGAAGAAAAUUUUGUUUGAUAUUAGGUUUGUUGUUAAAUUUAUAAUAUGAAGCAUUGGAUUGCCCGAUCUAUAGGUUUAUGUA